GCACUACUGACGAGUCUCAAAAUAAGACGAAACAGCUGUCCAGUGA
RNAcentral lists this non-coding RNA (46 nucleotides) under Echinostoma caproni. Lineage: Eukaryota; Metazoa; Platyhelminthes; Trematoda; Plagiorchiida; Echinostomatidae. The record is from RNAcentral.